RNAcentral lists this unclassified non-coding RNA (271 nucleotides) under Hevea brasiliensis (rubber tree). Lineage: Eukaryota; Viridiplantae; Streptophyta; Magnoliopsida; Malpighiales; Euphorbiaceae. The record is from RNAcentral.
AUUUAAAUUUUUUAACAACUUCAAAGUUCUUGGAUUGUCAUUGUUAACAAAAUUAGAGCUCGCCAAACAAGGAGUCAAAGGUCAAAAAAUUCUUAACUUUGUCAAAUGACUUCCAUUUUUCAUAAAAUGUUAAUAGGGAAAAUUCUCAACUAAAAAAAUGAAGAUCUACUCCUAUAUCUCUAGGCAUCCUAUCAAAAAAGUUAUAUUUGCAUAUUUGUGACAUUAUUACCUAGUAAUUUUUAAUUUUCUCUUUCUUUAGUUACGAAACGUG